This 340-nucleotide small nuclear RNA is filed under the name Castor canadensis (American beaver). RNAcentral describes it as "7SK RNA (ENSCCNG00000011389.1)". It matches the Rfam family "7SK RNA". From Rfam's summary of the family: 7SK was discovered as an abundant small nuclear RNA in the mid-70s but a possible function has only recently been suggested. The record is from RNAcentral. Lineage: Eukaryota; Metazoa; Chordata; Mammalia; Rodentia; Castoridae.
GGACAUGAGGACAAUCUGGCUGUAACAUCUGUCACCCUAUUAAUCACCAGGGUUGAUGUGACUGAGCUGGCUGCCUAGGCAGAUGUUCCCUUCCUCCCUCACCACUCCUUGUGUGUCCCUCUGGACACUGCAUGCUCAGUGAAAGAGAAUGACUUUCCCUGAUGAAGGAGGACUGUUCUUUAAGUCAGGCAUAUACAAGUAGCUCCUAUGCUCCCCUCCCAGAACCUCCAAACGAGCUCUCAAGUUAAAAACAGUGUAUGUACUAGGAUUGCAAUUUUUAAAAGAAAUGUAAUUGAUAGAGUGUGAAUAGAAAAAAAGUUGUAGGAAUAUAUAUCAAAUU